UACGUAGGGUGCAAGCGUUAUCCGGAAUUAUUGGGCGUAAAGAGCUCGUAGGCGGUUUGUCGCGUCUGCUGUGAAAACCCGAGGCUCAACCUCGGGCCUGCAGUGGGUACGGGCAGACUAGAGUGCGGUAGGGGAGAUUGGAAUUCCUGGUGUAGCGGUGGAAUGCGCAGAUAUCAGGAGGAACACCGAUGGCGAAGGCAGCUCGCUGGGACGGUACUGACGCUGAGGCGCGAAAGCGUGGGGAGCAAACAGG
RNAcentral lists this ribosomal RNA (253 nucleotides) under uncultured bacterium. RNAcentral's name for it is "partial 16S ribosomal RNA". It matches the Rfam family "Bacterial small subunit ribosomal RNA", at positions 524 to 776 of the family's 1533-position model. The record is from RNAcentral.